Molecule: ribosomal RNA, 696 nt
Filed under: uncultured bacterium
Lineage: Bacteria
Description: bacterial SSU rRNA
Rfam family: Bacterial small subunit ribosomal RNA
Source: RNAcentral
GUCGAACGGGUGUAGCAAUACAUCCGUGGCGAACGGGUGCGUAACACGUGGAUAACCUUCCUUCAGGUGGGGAAUAACCCAGUGAAAAUUGGGCUAAUACCGCAUAACAAGACGAGGGCUCAUGCUCUUGCCUUCAAAGGCGCAAGUCGCCAGAAGAGGGAUCCGCGGCCGAUUAGCUAGUUGGCGAGGUAACGGCUCACCAAGGCAAUGAUCGGUAGCCGGAUUGAGAGGUUGGCCGGCCACACUGGAACUGAGACACGGUCCAGACUCCUACGGGAGGCAGCAGUGGGGAAUCUUGCACAAUGGGCGAAAGCCUGAUGCAGCAACGCCGCGUGGGGGAUGAAGCUUCUCGGAGUGUAAACCCCUUUCGACCCGGAAGAAUGCCCGCAAGGGCUUGACGGUACGGGUAUAAGAAGCCCCGGCUAACUACGUGCCAGCAGCCGCGGUAAUACGUAGGGGGCCAGCGUUGCUCGGAAUUACUGGGCGUAAAGGGUCCGUAGGCGGUGUGGCAAGUCGGGAGUGAAAUCUCUGGGCUUAACCCAGAGGCUGCUUCCGAAACUGCCGUGCUAGAGUGUGAGAGAGGCGAGUGGAAUUGCGGGUGUAGCGGUGAAAUGCGUAGAUAUCCGCAGGAACAUCCGAGGCGAAAGCGGCUCGCUGGAUCACAACUGACGCUGAGGGACGAAAGCUAGGGGAGCA